This is a long non-coding RNA of Lolium rigidum, 2887 nucleotides long. RefSeq lists it as uncharacterized. The record is from RefSeq and is a predicted model, not a curated record. NCBI's taxonomy places the organism in Eukaryota, Viridiplantae, Streptophyta, Magnoliopsida, Poales, Poaceae. The transcript has 4 exons.
CCACUGGCGGCCUCCUUUGCCUCCGUCCGGCGCCAUGGCAUGUUGGUGUGUUUGGGAGGCACAAUGGCGAGCGGUGGUAUUGGCGGCGCGAGGAGCCUUCCGUGGUGACGCGAGCAUGAUGUGGGCCUGGUUGGGCUGCGUCCCGGGCGGCGUUAAAGAAUUUGUACUUCUUCGGCCUUCAGGAGAUCCACAUCUUCUUCCUUGAUCCAUUACCGCAAGGAUUUCAAGGGCACCAACAAGACCACCAGACAGAUCUGCUUCGUCCUCGCUAACUUCGUUCCUUACGGUGAUGACCAUCAUGGUCCGCUCCCAUCUCAGCGCUGUACUGCCGAGGCUGAAGCUGGCCCCUCUCACCACUCUGGUGGUGUGGCCUCAAGACACUCCGGACGCAGCUGAAGACUCUUCGCUAGCAGUUGGGACAAUUCAAUCGUGGCCUAGGUGGGUGCGGCACAGCUACUCUCAUUCAUCGACUCAGAACUGUCCUGUAUUCGUUCGCAGUGUCCAGAGCAUUGAUCUGCUGGCCUGACCUCGCGGCUGCAUCGCACUCCAAAUGGGGAAUUCGAGGGAUUUUUCCAAAAUCAUCUCAUUAUAUUUUCAGUAUCUUUUGUUUGCUCGGAAGAAAGACCCUUUUUGCAGGCUAACUGUUACAAAAUGAUGCUAAUUGCAUUUGAUUUAUGUUGUUCAGUUCAAAUGUUUGAUAGAUUGUUCCAAGUAUUCAAAAAUUCUUUAUGUUUCAAAUUCUAUAUAUAAGAGAUUUUUUAUAUUAGGCGGGCAGGAUGUUCUCUGUUAAGAGACUAGCAUGUAGGAGAUGGUAAGAAUAUUUUCUCACUACGUAUUCUGUCCAAUAUUACAGUGAAGCAAUGCUUAUAUAAAGGUAAAAUUGUAGAUUGUUUAUGGUUUUUUAGAUUAUUUAUUAUUUUCCCAAAUACAACAUGUAUUGUCUCUACUUGAUUUGGAGAUCAUUGCUCUUCUACGUGGAAUAAGAAUUGCCAGUAUCAUCAAUAGUUAUGCAUAGGAGGAAUUUGAGGACGAACUGAUGUUCUUGGUUUUUUUGCUUUCAUUCAAAUAAAACUCCACGGUUACCUGCGGGGUUUCAGUGGACUUUGUUUUAUCAAGGGCAAGUUUGACCAAUCCAACGAUUUUUCAGGUCAGAGUAGAAUGGACUGAUUUCAUGUUGGGGUAGUUCUUUUGCAUGACAAUAAAAGUUGUUGUUAGUUUAACCUGCCCAAAGCGUAAUUAAUAGCUGUGAUGUACGUUAGAGGCCAUGGUAUCUCUCACUAGGCACUAUCUACCACCAUGCGAAAAGAGUUGGUCCCCUAGAGCAAUGAUUUACCAUCAUUUUGAUUUCUCAAGCACCAAAACUGAAGCCUAAUUAGUAUAUGUGCUAUACAUUAAAACCAUUGUAAAAACUUCAUCUCAAAUCCAUUUCAGCCUUGAAUAUGAUGUAGUCCAUAUUAAUUUCAGGUUCAGUUACUUGUGAUUUGCCUAUUUAUUACAGCUUGCUUUCUGUACACUGGAAAAUAAAAUUAACAUGCAGACACAUAUUAAGGUUUUGAAUUUGAAGAGUCACGGUGGAAUUUAGUUGCACAUUAGCUUAUCAGCACACAAUAAUCUUCUACUUUAAUGAAGUUCAUAAAUAUACCUGGCACAUAUAUGUCUCUUAACAUCUCCUGCAAACUUCUGUUGUAAUCCAUGGAGAAGACCACUCUUGCAAUCUCAAAUUAAAGCACUUUUAUCAACUUCUGCGUGUCAUCUGUGUUAACGCACCUAUCUGAAUAUUUGCAGUGGUAUAUUGUAAGCUGGCAGUUUGGUGCUGAUUGUAUAUGAAAUCACAACACAACCAUGUAGCAGUAUCUUAUGGCAUUACUGUAGUAUGUGAUGGUGUAUGCUGCUUUGUCUUAUUCAUAAGGAUGUUACAAUUUGGAGCAAUGUGAAGGUGUGUGGUUAGUUGUAUACUUUCCUGGGUUUUCUCUUUUUCUUUCCUGAGUUUCUCAAUAUUUGUGGAUCAGAUUCAAAUUGUCAUAUUUCUGUGUGAAGCUAAGUACUACCUGCAUUGUUACUUUAGGAAGCAUUGGCUGAGUGGUUCUACAGACAGAUCAUGGCUUGAAACUUUUUUGUAUGGAAAUUCUAUAUCCGCAAUUGAGUCACCAAAAUAAGUUGCAAUGCAUGUCCUCGAUAUCUUUCUUGCUUUGCUAAAGUCAUGCUACGAAUGGUUGCUCUGAGAUUUUUCAUGUCUAUCACUGUACCGGCCAAAUGUGGAUGACGAGGUGAUCUUGCAAGCAUUGAUAGUAGGGAUUUUUUUCUUUUGGUUUUGCCCUUAUAUUGUUUGUAACGUGUAUUUGUAAGUGGCCCUUCACACUGAAACAUUAUUCUGUUCGCCUAUGUUACGCAAUGGAGAUUAAUAAAAUUGAAGGACAGACGGUUGACAAGGUCGGCGUCUGUUUACCAAGGCCUACUUUUUCUCAUGGGCAAUUCUAUGUCGUUGUGUGAACGGUGACAUCAGUGAAAGGGUUAAUGAUACUUGCACUUGAUGAAAAUGGGGAACCGACUACAGAAACAAGGAACAUAGUGUACCAGGAGGUGCUUGAUAAUCUCUAGGAAGGCCCUUCAUGGUUUAUCUGAUGCAUGGAAGAAUGGAGUUUGUUUCCUAAUCCUCGGUACAAUGUUCGUUGGUGCUACAUAUAGUGCAUGUGUUCCAGCAGGUUUGAGCCAGUUGAUCCCUAGAAGCCGAUGCUACUUACGGUUCGUAGUGGCAUGUUUACAGUUUACAGUCAUGUGUUCCGCCCAUUGAAUUGUUGUUAUGUUGCCUGUUUAAUCCUGUGCUUAUUCAACCGUUGCAGUCCCUCUUGGCUAUAGACUUGAAAUAGUUGGUUCUGAAGUGCAAGUA